RNAcentral lists this ribosomal RNA (253 nucleotides) under uncultured bacterium. Its description in RNAcentral is "partial 16S ribosomal RNA". It matches the Rfam family "Bacterial small subunit ribosomal RNA", at positions 524 to 776 of the family's 1533-position model. The record is from RNAcentral.
GACGAACGGUGCGAACGUUGUUCGGAAUCAUUGGGCGUAAAGAGCGCGUAGGCGGCCAACUAAGUCUUGCGUGAAAACUCGGGGCUCAACCCCGAGCGGUCGUGGGAAACUGGUUGGCUAGAGUGCGGGAGAGGAGAGUGGAAUUCCUGGUGUAGCGGUGAAAUGCGCAGAUAUCAGGAAGAACACCCGUGGCGAAGGCGGCUCUCUGGAACGCAACUGACGCUGAGACGCGAAAGCGUGGGGAGCAAACAGG